GACGAACUGUCCUAACGUUGUUCGGAAUCACUGGGCUUAAAGGGCGCGUAGGCGGUCGAUCAAGUCAGGGGUGAAAUCCUACAGCUUGAACUGUAGAAGUGCCUUUGAUACUGGUUGUCUUGGAGGGAGGUAGGGGUGUGGUGGAACUCGACAGUGGAGCGGUGAAAUGGCGUUGAGUAUUGUGAGGAACGGCCGGAGGC
RNAcentral lists this ribosomal RNA (200 nucleotides) under uncultured bacterium. RNAcentral describes it as "partial 16S ribosomal RNA". It matches the Rfam family "Bacterial small subunit ribosomal RNA", at positions 524 to 716 of the family's 1533-position model. The record is from RNAcentral.